This 253-nucleotide ribosomal RNA is filed under the name uncultured bacterium. RNAcentral's name for it is "partial 16S ribosomal RNA". It matches the Rfam family "Bacterial small subunit ribosomal RNA", at positions 524 to 776 of the family's 1533-position model. The record is from RNAcentral.
UACGGGGGGGGCAAGCGUUGUUCGGAAUUACUGGGCGUAAAGGGCUCGUAGGUUGCCAACUAAGUCAGACGUGAAAUCCCUCGGCUUAACCGGGGAACUGCGUCUGAUACUGGAUGGCUUGAGUUCGGGAGAGGGAUGCGGAAUUCCAGGUGUAGCGGUGAAAUGCGUAGAUAUCUGGAGGAACACCGGUGGCGAAGGCGGCAUCCUGGACCGACACUGACACUGAGGAGCGAAAGCCAGGGGAGCAAACAGG